GCCCCGGGCCCUGCCCGGCCUCCAUGGCCGCCCUGACCCGGAACUGCGCGCGGCGCCGCUGGGGCGCACUGCGCAUGCGCAGAGCGGUGAGUCCCGGUGAGGGCGACCCUUCCCGGCUCGGUUGUUUUAGCACAGGGAUAACACGGGCAUGGCACUGCUCGACUUGGCGACAGGCUCAUUGGUCUUGAUAGAGGUACUUUGCAAAACAAAGUAACUGGUGAAUACUCAGAACUCUUGAAGCCAGAGCUCAAAGAAUAAGUAAGUGGUUUCUGCAAGUUGAUGUACAUAUCUGCCUUAAGGAUGUGCAGCCCAUGGACAUAAGUAGUUUAGCACGAAGGGACUUUUUACUCCAAAAAACCUAGAAUUGUACAAAGUGUGUAGCAGAACUUUGAACUUCUCCUACCAGAAACUACACCAACUGUUGUGCUGGUGCAUUUGUUGUUUGUAAAAAGCAUACUUUUCACUCAAUUCUGGUUUUGUUGGAUAUGCUUAUUAUAAUACGGUACUUGCAUGACAGGGUUACGUUUAACAGUGGGAAAAUGGUGACUUAGGAGUCCUUCUACUGCUGUUCUGCAGAUCUUGUGUUAUUUUAUCAUGCUCGACAUGUAUUUAUUUUUCCUUCUUCCUCCCCUUUUUUUUCUUUUCAAGCCUGGAAGCUUUGAGGCAUUCAACAGAAAAUAUAGUUACUUUUUAACUACUUAAAAUGUUAAUGUUGGUACUGUUUCUAUUAACAUUGUCUCCCAAAUCUUUGGAUUGUUUAGAAAUACAUUGUUACAUCC
Molecule: long non-coding RNA, 779 nt
Organism: Neopelma chrysocephalum (saffron-crested tyrant-manakin)
Lineage: Eukaryota; Metazoa; Chordata; Aves; Passeriformes; Pipridae
Exons: 3
Source: RefSeq, a predicted model, not a curated record